This 301-nucleotide ribosomal RNA is filed under the name uncultured bacterium. RNAcentral describes it as "partial 16S ribosomal RNA". It matches the Rfam family "Bacterial small subunit ribosomal RNA", at positions 509 to 807 of the family's 1533-position model. The record is from RNAcentral.
CAGUCGCCGCGGUAAGACAGAGGAUGCAAGCGUUAUCCGGAAUGAUUGGGCGUAGAGCGUCUGUAGGUGGCUUUUCAAGUCCACCGUCAAAUCCCAGGGCUCAACCCUGGACAGGCGGUGGAAACUACCAAGCUAGAGUACGGUAGGGGCAGAGGGAAUUUCCGGUGGAGCAGUGAAAUGCGUUGAGAUUGGAAAGAACACCAACGGCGAAAGCACUCUGCUGGGCCGACACUGACACUGAGAGACGAAAGCUAGGGGAGCAAAUGGGAUUAGAUACCCCAGUAGUCCCUGUCUCUUAUAC